AUUAAAAGACUAACAAUAAAGAAAACUAACUAAAUAAUAAAAUUUAAUAAUGGAUGGGUGUUUGGUUUUGACUAGAAGUAAAUUAAACUUAAAUAAAUUACAGAAUUGACAAAAACAUAAAAUUAAGGUAAAAUGAUAAAUGACGGACUAGCUAGAGGGUUCUUCUCCACACAUGACACAUAAGCAACCUAAAUUGAUUUUCAGUUGUUCUUUCAAUAAAUUGUAAAUCUCAACGCCCCAAAUUAACCGUGAACAGCACUUUUUUAAUCUUCAAGUUUUCCUUAAGUUAUUGAAUUGGACGGGAAAACGCAUACAACAAUUCAAAACAUUCUUCAAAAAGUCCCCUACGUGAAAAGCACAAUAGAGAUACAAUCAAAGAUCAUUAAACUUUGUGAAAACUAUAAGCAUUGACGAGGCAUUCGUAACUAUGAAAAGCAUGAUACUCUUGCCAAGAAUUUACUUAACGUGAUUGUGACUAGCAACCUUUACUACUUGUGAAAAUAAGUUCAUAACGAUUAGGUGAAAUUCACUUAUAUUCUAGCAUCAAAUUCAUGCAUGUAAAUUAAGCGUGCACUCUCAACCAACAUACACAAAUCAGUUUUUAUACGAACGGAUAAGUAAAUUGAAAUCACAACUUAUGAAAUCACAACCGAAGGUAAUCAAUUCAUAUUACAAAUAUAUUCAUGGCUUUGAAUUAACCUCUAGCCAAAAUAAAUUUAAUUACACAUUAUUAAAACAAAAAUAAAAUAGAAGUUUGGAAAGAUUUAACCGAAAGAGGAGGAUUCUGCUUUUCUGUGCUCUGACCAACUCUUGCUGUGCUCUCUCUCCUCUCCAGCUGCCAAGACAGCAUUUCACGCCGCCAACUGGACGUCAACUCAUGCUCAAGCUGCCAAAAUGGCAGCUUUCUUUCUUAACCUCUUUCUUCAGUCACGCUGCCAAGGCAGCGUCUCUUCUCCCGCCUCUGUCUCUCUGACCUCGCUGCCAAAGGGCAGCGAUCUCCCUUCCUGCGUCUCUGCGAGCUUCUCUCCUUCCUGCGUCUCUGCGAGCUUCUCUCCUUCCUGCGUCUCUGCGAGCUGCCCAAAGGGCAGCCCCUUUCUCCCCCUAAUUCCUUUCCGCGUUCCUCCUCUUUUAUUCUUUUUAUCUGUCAGUGUUUCUCCCACUUGUCCCCUUUAUUUCUAUUUUUUUAUUUUCUUUUCAAACCACCCUCCACUGCUUCUUAUCCCGCACUCUUCUCUUUUUCUUUAUUUUCUUAUUCUAUUUCCUCCUUCCACCAGUCUGCCCGUGUCCUCCUCUUAUUCUUCUUUUAAUUUUUUUUAUUCCUUCUUUUCUUUUUUUAUUCCUUUCUUUUCUUCUUCUCCAUCCGUUCCUUUCUUUUCUUCUACAAAACAAAACCAUCAUGAUGAUGUUUCAAACAUCAUCAUGACUUAUCAUUAUUAUAUAUUUUUUUUAAUUUAAUUUAAAAGCUGAUCUACACAGACAGUUUGACGAAUUUAUUACAUAAAAUUUCACUUGUUCUAUUUUUAUUUUCUUUGCAUAACAAAUCCUAUAAACACAAAAAUAACGUAAAUAGCUCAAAAAUAUAAGGAACUAACCAAGAAAAGACGAGUGAAUUUGAAGUAAAAAUAUAUAUAAAUAUGAUCCGAUCAAAUACCCCCAUACUUAACUUUUGCUAGUCCUCGAGCAAAACAAAGAAAACAUGAAAAAGUAAUAACAUGAAAAACAUUAGCUUCCCUCUAUGUGACCCUCAUAGAAUUUCAUUCAAGAAAACAAAUCAUCAAGAACCAUAGCUAGCAUCAAGGAACUAAUCCAAGUUCAUCUUUCUUAUUCAAAUAUUAGCAGUAAUCUUUGAAUCAUCCUUGAAGUGUAGUGUGUGAGAUAGCCAUGCUAAUGCAAUUUCAAGAUUUUUUAUUUUUAAAAUCAUCAUAUGCAAACUAGUGACCUUCUCACGGGAUAUGCACUCAAUCACACAUGUGUUUAGUUUUAAUGUGUUUCGCUCAAAGAAACAAAUGUGAAAUUUCUACCAUAAGCUUGCAUAAAGAUCUCAUCUCCACAAUCAUAAUUGCAAAACUUAAAUCAAGAGGACUUUUAUUGGAUGUAAUGAGGUUUAGGGAGAGGGUUAUUGAAAUGAAAGAAUAGGAAAACACAAGUUCCAAGCUACAUUGCAAGCAAUUUUUUUCUUUAGAUUUAUAAGAACUCAAGCUCUCCAACAAUUCUUCUAGCACCUCCAACCACAACCUUAAACUGAAACUUGAAAAACUUUUUAUUUUCUUUGUAUACAAUCUUUCUUUUUCUUUUUUUUUUUUUUUUUUUUUUUUUUUUUUUUUUUUUUUUAAUACAAACAUGAAAUACCCCCACACUUAAUCUUUUGCUAAACAUCUUCACAGUACUUCACAAACGUUUCUCAUAAAACAAUCUCACAUUGCUCACUAGCUUGCUUGGAAAGGGUAAGGAAAAAUGUUUCAGGUAUAAGGGUAGACAUAUCUGGUGAUAAGAAAUAAAAGGCUCAACAAACACGGCUCAAAUUGGCAAACUAAUGAUAUCAUUUUUCUUUGGGAAACAUGGUUAUUUGGGCCAUAGUGGUAAACCUAAUGCCUCUAUCAUUUCCAAGUUCAAGCAAUCAAUGACAAACAUUUCGAAAGAUCGUUACGCAAGUUCUAGAGAUGUAUCUCACAUAAGUUCAUCACACAUAAAAGAAUAGGAGUGUAUGAAAAAUACACACACUUUCAAUAGGCUCAAAAACUCACAUAGGAUAUAUAUGGUCACUAAAUUCACAUAUGAAGCUUUAAUUCAUACUUUAGUUUCACAUCAACAAGGCUAUGUGCAUUUGGUUUUUCAAAGAUGAUCAAACAUGUACAAAACUAACAAGAGAAUUAGGAAUUUCACAAAACACAUGUUAACUAAGUUCUUGAUAAUCAUGAUUCAAAUUUGAUCCAAUUAUAUCAUUGGGUUGGGAAACUAAUAAAAAUCUAAUUCAAAACAAUAAGGGAAACAAGACAAUAUUUUUGGAUUUUUAAAUUUUCCGAAAUUUUUUUAAUUUAAAUUUUUUUUAAAAGAAAACAAAACUAAUUAAGAACACAAAAAACAACAACACAGUUUUUUUUAUUUUUAUUUUUAAAAGAAAACAAAACUAAUUAAGAACACAAAAAACAACAACACAGAGACAAAUGAAAUUCUGGAGAUUUCUACCCCCACACUUAAACUUGACAUUGUCCCCAAUGUCAGAAAACACUAUAAUGCAAAUAAAAAAAAUAAAAUAAAAUAAAUAAAUAAUAAGAAACAAAAUAACGCGAUUGGACUGAAAACUUCCCUAAUUUGCAGUAAAAUCAAGCGAUGACCCCCAAGCUAAAAUUCUGCAAUCAACUUCAAGGGUGGAAAUAACCAAAAGUUCCUGCAAAGAAAAAAAAUAAUUCAGUUAAGUACGCAAGAAAAUUAAUUAAAAAAAAAUUGCAAACGAAAAAUUGAAAAUUACGAUAAAAGAUAAUGAAUAAAACUAAUAAGUAAUCAUUGGUCGUGCUUGUUGACUUUCCACAGCUUUCCUCUUGAACAGGGUGACACUUAGCUUUUUACUUGCAAGUGAUGAUUUGAUGAUAUUGUACGGCGGAGCUUUGCUCUUUGGGAAUGUUGCAGUUCCUUAUUUGUUCUCCAAGCAGAUGUGGCAGCUUCUCUAGUUCUUCAUCUCAGACUCCUUCUGCUGGGAUGAUUGUGCAAGCUGCAUUCUUCUCUGCUUGUUUCCUCUGCAUGGCGGGCAGGCACGAGGGAGAGGUGUUGGUCUGUUUCUUUCUUCAAUCUUUCCAAGUGCCCACCUCUUGCUCUCUUUCUCCUUGUCCUUAGUUGAGGAUGAAUCAGCACGUUGUCUCCACAUGCUUCGAGGUAUCAUCUUCACUUCCCUUAUACGUAAGAGACGAAGAGGAAACACAAGAUGAUGAGUACUCGAGAGCAAGUGCUGGCUGGAGAAAGGACAGGGAGAAAGCAUGAUAUGAGAUACUCUUGCUUUCAACCUUCAUGAUAUGAAAUACUUUUGCUUUGAAUGGGUUGUUCGCAGGAGUAUCCCAAGGAAUGAGGAAUACAGAGUGACUUAGGAGGAUUCUUUGGGAAUGCAUUUUCGGAGAUGAAGAAGUGUUGAGAGGGUGUGCUGAGAGAGUGUGCUUUUGCUGUGGAAGGCGAAGGUAGAAACUUAUAGGGCUUUUCUUCACAACCGGAACUAUUCUCUCACUCAUUGUCGGCAGCCGGUGGAUGGAUGAAUAGUACACAUUACGCGCUUUCUGACAAAGCUGCCCGUAAUUUCCGCAAAGCAGAUUCCUCAUUGAUAUCUGGAAUCGGCGCUUCGAGCUCUGAGCAACGUCGAUUGUAGAGGUAGCAUGUGACACGUGCGGAUAAAUCUGGAAAAGAAGAUUUGCCCGUGGGUUGAAGCCCAGCUUUUGAGAAAGCUAGCGUGUCUUUGACUGUUGAAUUUCCCUCUUCGAUUUCUGAAUUGGUGCUUCGACAAACUGCCCGAGAAUUUCGCAAAGCAAUUUACGUGUGACAAGUGACGACACGUCUGGACAAAGUGAUCUUUCGAAAUCCGGGAUUCGGCUCGUGGUUUCUGAGCAAGCCCAACUUUUAAGAAAUUAAACGCCUCUUUUGAGAAAAGAAUCAGGCGUUUGAGAAACGAGCCCCGACUCUUCGAUUUGCGAGAGGACGCCUCUCUGAUGAGCGUCUCUCCGAUUUCUUCUUUUUAUAGAGGCGCUAAUUGUGUUCCACAACACACUUGAGCUCCCUCUUGUAAACACUCCCUUCUUGCAAUUUCCAAAAUCUUAAUCAGUCCGACUCUCUUCUUUCUUCACCACCUCUUAAAAAUGUCUGGCCCUUCUGAUCGUCGUUUUGACUUGAACAUUGGUGAAGAGGCAGCUCCGCCUUCACCAGACAAUAUAUGGCGGCCAACCUUCAUAUCCCCUACCGGUCCUCUUACCGUGGGGGAUUCGGUGAUAAAAAAUGACAUGACCGCUGCGGUGGUGGCCCGAAACCUUGUCACUCCCAGAGAUAACAGACUGCUCGCUAGACGGUCCGAUGAAUUGGCGGUUAAGGAGUCUCUGGCUCUUAGCGUGCAGUGUGCGGGUUCUGUAUCCAACAUGGCCCAACGCCUAUAUGCUCGAACCCGUCACGUUGAAUCGUUGGUGGCUGAAAUACAGAGUCUCAAAGAGGAGAUUAGAGGACUCAAGCAUGAAAAUAAACAAUUGCACAAGCUUGCACACAACUAUGCCACAACCAUGAAGAGGAAGAUUGACCAGAUGCAGGACACCGAUGGUCAAAUUUUACUUGAUCAUCGGAGGUUUGUGGGUUUGUUCCAACAACAUCUGCCUUCGUCUUCUGGAGCGGCACACCGCGUAGUGAAGCUCCAACUGAUCAACCUCUGCCGCCUCCUCCUUCUGUGGCCCCGCCGACUGCUGAAGCCCCGCCUACUACUGAAGCACCACCCGACCAAUGAAUACUAUUAGUUUACAUUAUUGUAAAAUAUUUGCAUUUUUUUUUUUUUUUUUUUUUUUUUUAAUGUGUAAAUUAAUGUAAAGAGACUUUGGUUAACCUUCCCCCACACUUAAACUAAAUAACACAAACUCACAGAAAUCAACCAAUUAACACAACUAACUAAACAAAACAAAAUGAAAGCAGUAAAGAUAAGGGUGGAAGAAUGCAAAGCUGAUUGGGUUAGUGAUUCCAAAGUCUCCCUUCGUUGAAUGCUUGGGUUGCCUCCCAAGAAGCGCUUGAUUUAACGUCUUUAGCCGGACGCAUCUUUCCUUUAAAUUUCCCUCGGCUCCAUUUGAACCUAAAAUCAAAGAAAGAAAAAUAAAUCAAAUAUCAAAAGUAAAAUACACAAACACCAAUAUAAACAUAAACAAAAACAAAAAUAAAGGGAUUAGCAAAGUUACUAAUCCCCGGCAACGGCGCCAAAAUUUGAUGUGAGAAUUUCUUGACACACAAAUUAAACCCUCUUUUUGACAAUUGUAGUAUAGAUGUAAGUAGGGUAUCGUUCUAGGCCGGGGAUUAGGAGGGAUUGCUAAUCUAUUCUAAAUUAAUUUAAAAAAUAUUAAACAAGACUCAAUGAUACAAAACUAGGCUAAAAACUCUAAUAACUCGAAACACACUUAGGAUGACUCAAAAUAAUGAAAAUGAUCUGAUUAAACACUAAGAACUGAAAUGGACGGAAAUUGAAUUAAAAGACUAACAAUAAAGAAAACUAACUAAAUAAUAAAAUUUAAUAAUGGAUGGGUGUUUGGUUUUGACUAGAAGUAAAUUAAACUUAAAUAAAUUACAGAAUUGACAAAAACAUAAAAUUAAGGUAAAAUGAUAAAUGACGGACUAGCUAGAGGGUUCUUCUCCACACAUGACACAUAAGCAACCUAAAUUGAUUUUCAGUUGUUCUUUCAAUAAAUUGUAAAUCUCAACGCCCCAAAUUAACCGUGAACAGCACUUUUUUAAUCUUCAAGUUUUCCUUAAGUUAUUGAAUUGGACGGGAAAACGCAUACAACAAUUCAAA
Molecule: long non-coding RNA, 6511 nt
Filed under: Malus domestica (apple)
Lineage: Eukaryota; Viridiplantae; Streptophyta; Magnoliopsida; Rosales; Rosaceae
Description: long non-coding RNA (MDOM_LNC016581)
Source: RNAcentral